GGAAAUGACUCCAGGCUCGGCCAGUCAGCCACAGGCCAGCCUCAAGUCUACCUACUGCUGCCCAGUGGCUCUCGGGGUGGGGGUGGGGGGGCGGUGUCCCUGCCCCUUGGGCUUUCUUCACUGUGCCAAAUGGCUCCAGUAGGAGGGGGUCCAGUCCAAUUUCCUGACGCCUCUCUCCUUUUUCUAUGUCACAGCUGUCUCUGCUUUUGGCAAAAAGUUCUCCUCAUUCUGGUGACCAUGCCCUGCAGGGCUCUUGAAGAGAUGAAGGGAGAUGAUAUCAUUGCUGUGGAAAAAUCUCUGGAGUCAGAGGCCUGGGCACAGCUCUGGACUCUGCGUAUAACACAUCUGCGAUCUGGCAAACCCUUGGCCCAAAGACUCACAGCAGGUGGGACGUGGCAGGCAGGCCUCAGUUGAGGACGGGAUGUUUUCUAACAGCAGCUGCCC
This 444-nucleotide long non-coding RNA is filed under the name Ursus americanus (American black bear). Its description in RNAcentral is "lncRNA (ENSUAMG00000006390.1)". Lineage: Eukaryota; Metazoa; Chordata; Mammalia; Carnivora; Ursidae. The record is from RNAcentral.